This 492-nucleotide ribosomal RNA is filed under the name uncultured bacterium. Its description in RNAcentral is "partial 16S ribosomal RNA". It matches the Rfam family "Bacterial small subunit ribosomal RNA", at positions 29 to 507 of the family's 1533-position model. The record is from RNAcentral.
AGUGAACGCUGGCGGUAGGCCUAACACAUGCAAGUCGAACGGCAGCACAGUAAGAGCUUGCUCUUACGGGUGGCGAGUGGCGGACGGGUGAGGAAUACAUCGGAAUCUACUUUUUCGUGGGGGAUAACGUAGGGAAACUUACGCUAAUACCGCAUACGACCUACGGGUGAAAGCAGGGGAUCUUCGGACCUUGCGCGAUUGAAUGAGCCGAUGUCGGAUUAGCUAGUUGGCGGGGUAAAGGCCCACCAAGGCGACGAUCCGUAGCUGGUCUGAGAGGAUGAUCAGCCACACUGGAGCUGAGACACGGUCCAGACUCCUACGGGAGGCAGCAGUGGGGAAUAUUGGACAAUGGGCGCAAGCCUGAUCCAGCCAUACCGCGUGGGUGAAGAAGGCCUUCGGGUUGUAAAGCCCUUUUGUUGGGAAAGAAAAGCAGCAGGUUAAUACCCCGCUGUUCCGACGGUACCCAAAGAAUAAGCACCGGCUAACUUCGUG